This 471-nucleotide ribosomal RNA is filed under the name uncultured organism. RNAcentral's name for it is "partial 16S ribosomal RNA". It matches the Rfam family "Bacterial small subunit ribosomal RNA", at positions 330 to 797 of the family's 1533-position model. The record is from RNAcentral.
CGUACACUCCUACGGGAGGCAGCAGUGAGGAAUAUUAGACAAUGGGUGGAAGCCUGAUCCAGCCAUCCCGCGUGCAGGAAGACGGCCCUAUGGGUUGUAAACUGCUUUUAUCUGGGGAUAAACCUACUUACGUGUAAGUAGCUGAAGGUACCAGAAGAAUAAGCACCGGCUAACUCCGUGCCAGCAGCCGCGGUAAUACGGAGGGUGCAAGCGUUAUCCGGAUUUAUUGGGUUUAAAGGGUCCGUAGGCGGACUGAUAAGUCAGUGGUGAAAUCCGACAGCUUAACUGUCGAACUGCCAUUGAUACUGUUAGUCUUGAGUAAGGUUGAAGUGGCUGGAAUAAGUAGUGUAGCGGUGAAAUGCAUAGAUAUUACUUAGAACACCAAUUGCGAAGGCAGGUCACUAAGUCUUAACUGACGCUGAUGGACGAAAGCGUGGGGAGCGAACAGGAUUAGAAACCCCGGUAGUCCCA